UGAGCACGAAGAUGCUACGGCAUCGAAGCAGUCUAUGUCAUACUUCCAAGAAAAGCUUGCAAUGUCAUAAACAAAUAAUGCCUGUACCAUAACCGACACAGGUGGGUAGGUAGAGUAUACUAAGGGGCGCGAGAUAACUCUCUCUAAGGAACUCGGCAAAAUGACUCCGUAACUUCGGGAGAAGGAGUGCCUUAUUUUUAUAAGGUUGCAAUAACAAGAUCCAAGCAACUGUUUACCAAAAACACAGGUCUCCGCUAAGUCGUAGGACGAUGUAUGGGGGCUGACGCCUGCCCAGUGCCAGAAGGUUAAAGAAGUUGGUUAGGAUUACCGAAGCUGAUAACUGAAGCCCUGGUGAACGGCGGCCGUAACUAUAACGGUCCUAAGGUAGCGAAAUUCCUUGUCGGGUAAGUUCCGACCCGCACGAAAGGCGUAAUGAUUUGGAUACUGUCUCGGAGAGGGGCUCGGUGAAAUAGACUUGUCUGUGAAGAUGCGGACUACCUGCACCUGGACAGAAAGACCCUAUGAAGCUUUACUGUAACUUGAGAUUGAAAUUGGACUUUAUUUGCGCAGUAUAGGUGGGAGACGUUGAAAAUAUUCUUGCGGGAAUAUUGGAGUCAUCAGUGAGAUACCACUCUUAUAAUGUUAGAUUUCUAACUUUGUAUCAUUAUCUGUUCAAAGAACAGUUUCAGGCGGGCAGUUUGACUGGGGCGGUCGCCUCCCAAAGGGUAACGGAGGCGCACAAAGGUUUCCUCUGAACGUGUAGAAAUCGUAUCUAGAGUGUAAAGGCAUAAGGAAGCUUGACUGUGAGACCUACAAGUCGAGCAGGGACGAAAGUCGGUCUUAGUGAUCUGACGGUGCUGAGUGGAAAGGCCGUCACUCAACGGAUAAAAGUUACUCUAGGAUAACAGGCUGAUCUCCCCCAAGAGUUCACAUCGACGGGGAGGUUUGGCACCUUGAUGUCGGCUCAUCGCAUCCUGGGGCGGUAGUACGUCCCAAGGGUUGGGCUGUUCGCCCAUGAAAGCGGUACGCGAGCUGGGUUCAGAACGUCGUGAGACAGUUCGGUCCAUAUCCGGUGUAGGCGUUAGAAUAUUGAGAGGAGCCUUCUUUAGUACGAGAGGACCGAGAAGGACAUACCUCUGGUGUACCAGUUAUCGUGCCAACGGUAAACGCUGGGUAGCUAUGUAUGGAGAGGAUAACCGCUGAAAGCAUCUAAGUGGGAAGCCCACCUCAAGAUAAGUA
Molecule: ribosomal RNA, 1239 nt
Filed under: metagenome
Description: bacterial LSU rRNA
Rfam family: Bacterial large subunit ribosomal RNA
Source: RNAcentral